Molecule: ribosomal RNA, 783 nt
Filed under: uncultured Bacillus sp.
Lineage: Bacteria; Bacillati; Bacillota; Bacilli; Caryophanales; Bacillaceae
Description: bacterial SSU rRNA
Rfam family: Bacterial small subunit ribosomal RNA
Source: RNAcentral
AAGGGCUCGCAGGCGGUUCCUUAAGUCUGAUGUGAAAGCCCCCGGCUCAACCGGGGAGGGUCAUUGGAAACUGGGGAACUUGAGUGCAGAAGAGGAGAGUGGAAUUCCACGUGUAGCGGUGAAAUGCGUAGAGAUGUGGAGGAACACCAGUGGCGAAGGCGACUCUCUGGUCUGUAACUGACGCUGAGGAGCGAAAGCGUGGGGAGCGAACAGGAUUAGAUACCCUGGUAGUCCACGCCGUAAACGAUGAGUGCUAAGUGUUAGGGGGUUUCCGCCCCUUAGUGCUGCAGCUAACGCAUUAAGCACUCCGCCUGGGGAGUACGGUCGCAAGACUGAAACUCAAAGGAAUUGACGGGGGCCCGCACAAGCGGUGGAGCAUGUGGUUUAAUUCGAAGCAACGCGAAGAACCUUACCAGGUCUUGACAUCCUCUGACAAUCCUAGAGAUAGGACGUCCCCUUCGGGGGCAGAGUGACAGGUGGUGCAUGGUUGUCGUCAGCUCGUGUCGUGAGAUGUUGGGUUAAGUCCCGCAACGAGCGCAACCCUUGAUCUUAGUUGCCAGCAUUCAGUUGGGCACUCUAAGGUGACUGCCGGUGACAAACCGGAGGAAGGUGGGGAUGACGUCAAAUCAUCAUGCCCCUUAUGACCUGGGCUACACACGUGCUACAAUGGACAGAACAAAGGGCAGCGAAACCGCGAGGUUAAGCCAAUCCCACAAAUCUGUUCUCAGUUCGGAUCGCAGUCUGCAACUCGACUGCGUGAAGCUGGAAUCGCUAGUAAUCGCG